UGGCUCAGGAUGAACGCUGGCGGCGUGCUUAACACAUGCAAGUCGAACGAGCGAGAGAGAGCUUGCUUUCUCAAGCGAGUGGCGAACGGGUGAGUAACGCGUGAGGAACCUGCCUCAAAGAGGGGGGACAACAGUUUGGAAACGACUGCUAAUACCGCAUAAGCCCACGACCCGGCAUCGGGUAGAGGGAAAAGGAGCAAUCCGCUUUGAGAUGGCCUCGCGUCCGAUUAGCUGGUUGGUGAGGUAACGGCCCACCAAGGCGACGAUCGGUAGCCGGACUGAGAGGUUGAACGGCCACAUUGGGACUGAGACACGGCCCAGACUCCUACGGGAGGCAGCAGUGGGGAAUAUUGCACAAUGGGGGAAACCCUGAUGCAGCGACGCCGCGUGGAGGAAGAAGGUCUUCGGAUUGUAAACUCCUGUUGUUGGGGAAGAUGAUGACGGUACCCAACAAGGAAGUGACGGCUAACUACGUG
RNAcentral lists this ribosomal RNA (476 nucleotides) under uncultured bacterium. Its description in RNAcentral is "bacterial SSU rRNA". It matches the Rfam family "Bacterial small subunit ribosomal RNA", at positions 20 to 507 of the family's 1533-position model. The record is from RNAcentral.